This 260-nucleotide ribosomal RNA is filed under the name uncultured bacterium. RNAcentral's name for it is "partial 16S ribosomal RNA". It matches the Rfam family "Bacterial small subunit ribosomal RNA", at positions 524 to 776 of the family's 1533-position model. The record is from RNAcentral.
UACGUUAGGUGGCAAGCGUUGUCCGGAAUUAUUGGCGUAAAGCGCGCGCAGGCGGGUCCUUUAAGUCUGAUGUGAAAUCCCCCCGGCUCAACCGGGGAACGGCUGGGUAUACUGGGUGUCUUGGGUCAUCUAGGGGGCUGCCGGAACAAAUGGUGGAGCGGUGAAAUGCGUAGAGAGUGAUGGAGGAACACCAGUGGCGAAGGCGGCUUUCUGGUCUGUAACUGACGCUGAGGCGACGAAAGGCGUGGGGAGCAAACAGG